AAGCCCCGCAAGGGGUAAGUAGAGUGGCAAACGGGUGAGUAACACGUGGGUGACCUGCCUCAGAGUGGGGGAUAACGUUCCGAAAGGAGCGCUAAUACCGCAUAACAUCCCGCGUUUGGAGACGCGGAGAUCAAAGCCGGGGAUCGCAAGACCUGGCGCUUAGAGAGGGGCCCGCGGCCGAUUAGCUAGUUGGUGAGGUAACGGCUCACCAAGGCGACGAUCGGUAUCCGGCCUGAGAGGGCGGACGGACACACUGGGACUGAGACACGGCCCAGACUCCUACGGGAGGCAGCAGUGGGGAAUUGUUCGCAAUGGGCGCAAGCCUGACGACGCAACGCCGCGUGGAGGACGAAGAUCUUCGGG
Molecule: ribosomal RNA, 363 nt
Filed under: uncultured bacterium
Lineage: Bacteria
Description: bacterial SSU rRNA
Rfam family: Bacterial small subunit ribosomal RNA
Source: RNAcentral